GUGUCAGCAGCCGCGGUAAUACGGAGGAUGCAAGCGUUAUCCGGAAUGAUUGGGCGUAAAGCGUCUGCAGGUGGCAGUUCAAGUCUGCUGUCAAAGACCGGGGCUUAACCCUGGAAAGGCAGUGGAAACUGAACAGCUAGAGAGUGGUAGGGGUAGAGGGAAUUCCCGGUGUAGCGGUGAAAUGCGUAGAGCUCGGGAAGAACACCAGUGGCGAAAGCGCUCUACUGGACCACAACUGACACUCAGGGACGAAAGCUAGGGGAGCGAAUGGGAUUAGAUACCCCUGUAGUCC
This 292-nucleotide ribosomal RNA is filed under the name uncultured bacterium. RNAcentral describes it as "partial 16S ribosomal RNA". It matches the Rfam family "Bacterial small subunit ribosomal RNA", at positions 505 to 796 of the family's 1533-position model. The record is from RNAcentral.